GGAGACGCUGCGCGUGCGCGCAGGGCAGACGGUAGAGCGGAGACGACGCUCCCAGACUCCUCCGGUCUCCCCGGGCAGCAUGAAGACCGCCGAGAACAUCAGAGGAACCGGCAGCGACGGGCCGCGGAAACGAGGCCUCUGCGUCCUCUGUGGCCUCCCCGCGGCAGGAAAAUCGACUUUCGCGCGCGCCCUCGCCCACCGGCUGCAGCAGGAGCAGGGUUGGGCCAUCGGUGUUGUCGCGUAUGAUGACGUCAUGCCCGACGCGUUUCUCGCCGGGGCAAGAGCGCGACCGGCGCCAUCCCAAUGGAAAUUGCUUCGACAGGAACUGUUGAAGUACCUGGAAUACUUCUUGAUGGCUGUCAUUAAUGGGUGUCAGAUGUCUGUCCCACCCAACAGGACUGAAGCCAUGUGGGAAGAUUUUAUAACCUGCUUAAAGGAUCAAGAUCUGAUAUUUUCUGCAGCAUUUGAGGCCCAGUCUUGCUACCUCUUAACAAAAACUGCUGUUUCUAGACCUUUGUUUUUGGUUUUGGAUGACAAUUUUUAUUAUCAGAGUAUGAGAUAUGAAGUCUACCAGCUGGCUCGGAAAUAUUCGUUGGGCUUUUGCCAGCUCUUUUUAGAUUGUCCUCUUGAGACCUGUUUACAGAGGAAUGGCCAGAGGCCACAGGCACUGCCUCCUGAGACCAUCCACCUGAUGGGAAGAAAGCUAGAAAAGCCCAACCCUGAGAAAAAUGCUUGGGAACACAACAGCCUCACAAUUCCGAGUCCAGCAUGUGCUUCGGAGGCCAGCCUGGAAGUGACUGAUUUAUUGCUCACUGCUUUGGAAAAUCCAGUAAAAUAUGCUGAGGACAAUAUGGAACAAAAGGACACAGACAGAAUUAUUUGUUCAACUAACAUUCUUCAUAAAACUGAUCAGACACUCCGAAGGAUUGUAUCUCAGACAAUGAAGGAAGCAAAAGCCAAAAUAUGAAAAUAACCCACAUGUCCGUCAGCUGACCAACAAAAUUUGGUGUAUCCAUACAACAAAAUAUUAUUCAGCCAUAAAAAGGAAUGAAAUGCUGAUAUGUGCUAUACAAUGUGGAAUAACCUUGAAAACAUGAUGCAAAGUGCAAGAAGUCAGUCCCAAAGACCAAGUAUGAACAAGUGCUUCCUCACAACUUGAAGCUUCUAGCAGAAGAACUUAACAAGCUCAAAGCAGAGUUUUUGGAAGACCUAAAACAAGGAAACAAAAAAUAUCUGUGCUUUCAGCAAACCAUUGACAUACCAGAUGUCAUUUCUUUUUUUCAUUAUGAGAAAGAUAAUAUUGUACAGAAGUAUUUUUCAAAGCAGCAUUAAAAUUUCUGAACUGCCAA
Molecule: RNA transcript, 1349 nt
Organism: Homo sapiens (human)
Lineage: Eukaryota; Metazoa; Chordata; Mammalia; Primates; Hominidae
Gene: PSTK
Gene name: phosphoseryl-tRNA kinase
Exons: 7
Source: RefSeq, marked validated